Molecule: ribosomal RNA, 320 nt
Filed under: uncultured eukaryote
Lineage: Eukaryota
Description: partial 18S ribosomal RNA
Rfam family: Eukaryotic small subunit ribosomal RNA
Source: RNAcentral
CCCUUAGAUGUUCUGGGCUGCACGCGUGUUACAAUCGGGAGUCCAACAAGAUUGCAAAUCCUAGUGGAUGAGUGGUUCUUCGAAAUUUUCUGAAGACUGGGAUAGUUGAUUGAAAUUAUUCAACUCAAACGAGGAAUUCCUUGUAAUUGUAAUUCAUUAUAUUGUAAUGAAUACGUCCCUGCCCUUUGUACACACCGCCCGUCGCUCCUACCGAUUGAACGAUCCGGUGAAUUAUUUGGAGUAGCUCUGGAAGUUGCAGAACUUCCUAUGUCACGAAAUUUUGUAAACCUUAUCGUUUAGAGGAAGGAAAAGUCGUAACA